AAGCCUAGGAAUCUGCCUGGUAGUGGGGGAUAACGUUCGGAAACGGACGCUAAUACCGCAUACGUCCUACGGGAGAAAGCAGGGGACCUUCGGGCCUUGCGCUAUCAGAUGAGCCUAGGUCGGAUUAGCUAGUUGGUGAGGUAAUGGCUCACCAAGGCGACGAUCCGUAACUGGUCUGAGAGGAUGAUCAGUCACACUGGAACUGAGACACGGUCCAGACUCCUACGGGAGGCAGCAGUGGGGAAUAUUGGACAAUGGGCGAAAGCCUGAUCCAGCCAUGCCGCGUGUGUUAAGAAGGUCUUCGGGUUGUAAAGCACUUUAAGUUGGGAGGAAGGGCAUUAACCUAAUACGUUAGUGUUUUGACGUUACCGACAGAAUAAGCACCGGCUAACUCUGUGCCAGCAGCCGCGGUAAUACAGAGGGUGCAAGCGUUAAUCGGAAUUACUGGGCGUAAAGCGCGCGUAGGUGGUUUGUUAAGUUGGAUGUGAAAUCCCCGGGCUCAACCUGGGAACUGCAUUCAAAACUGACUGACUAGAGUAUGGUAGAGGGUGGUGGAAUUUCCUGUGUAGCGGUGAAAUGCGCAGAUAUAGGAAGGAACACCAGUGGCGAAGGCGACCACCUGGACUAAUACUGACACUGAGGUGCGAAAGCGUGGGGA
This 658-nucleotide ribosomal RNA is filed under the name Pseudomonas fluorescens. Its description in RNAcentral is "bacterial SSU rRNA". It matches the Rfam family "Bacterial small subunit ribosomal RNA", at positions 113 to 767 of the family's 1533-position model. Lineage: Bacteria; Pseudomonadati; Pseudomonadota; Gammaproteobacteria; Pseudomonadales; Pseudomonadaceae. The record is from RNAcentral.